UGUUCAGCACAGGGCCUAGAGCUUAACAGGUACCCACCAUGGGGUAGUUCACUGGACAGAAGAAAUCAGAAAGAGGGCUCAUCACACCCCCUCCCGGGCCCUGAGUGUAAUCUACAAGCUGGCACCAGCUCUGAAAUCCCCUCAUUUUCUUGAAACAUACAGAAAUGGAAACAUACAGAGAGGGCUCAGGGCAAGGCAGCCUUCACUCUGUGUCUGGUUCAUCCUUGUGCCUCGAGUGCCCGGUGCAGAGCAGGACUUGACCGAGCUUGGGAACGAGUGGCUGACCCCCACACUGGUAUGUGAGCCGAGCACUCAGCAUGCCUCCCCUCGGACAACACACGCUCUGUGAGUGUAGACGAUCAGAAGGCUUCGGGGAAAUCAAAAGCAGCUACUCAGGAAAGGCCAGGGCUCCGCUGGAGAGACCGCUCUCUGCGGGGCUGCUGGGCCCCCGGGCCGGUGAUUCAUGUCUCGCUUGCUCGGGGUGGGAGCACAGGCCGAGUAUGAGCUGAAUUCAUAAGACCUUCUCUGUUUUAUCUCACAGAUGUUUCUGGGAUGGAUGUGUCAAGGAAAAAAAAAAGGCUGAAGUUGAAAAAUUCCAACUCAGCACAUGUCCUCCAGCCCCUGGAGACGUGACAAGGGAUUAAAACGCCUUUCUCCUCAUUUGCCCAACAUCUCAGGAGAAAGCUAAAUUGCAUCCCCGUCAGGGCUGUUCUGGGCACCUGCUGGCUACGAAGACGACCUCCUCAUUAGCCCAGUUUUCCUCUGGAAACAAGCUCACAAAAACGGCGUUAUGGGUACAUGUGUGAAUGUGUGUG
RNAcentral lists this long non-coding RNA (815 nucleotides) under Lynx pardinus (Iberian lynx). Lineage: Eukaryota; Metazoa; Chordata; Mammalia; Carnivora; Felidae. The record is from RNAcentral.